This 253-nucleotide ribosomal RNA is filed under the name uncultured bacterium. RNAcentral describes it as "partial 16S ribosomal RNA". It matches the Rfam family "Bacterial small subunit ribosomal RNA", at positions 524 to 776 of the family's 1533-position model. The record is from RNAcentral.
UACGUAGGGGGCUAGCGUUGUCCGGAUUUAUUGGGCGUAAAGAGCGUGUAGGCGGCCAUGUAGGUCCGGUGUGAAAACUCGAGGCUUAACCUCGAGAUGUCAUCGGAAACCAUUUGGCUAGAGUCCGGAAGAGGAGAGUGGAAUUCCUGGUGUAGCGGUGAAAUGCGCAGAUAUCAGGAAGAACACCAAUGGCGAAAGCAGCUCUCUGGGACGGUACUGACGCUGGGACGCGAAAGCGUGGGGAGCGAACAGG